GAUGAACGCUGGCGGCGUGCCUAAUACAUGCAAGUCGAGCGAACAGACGAGGAGCUUGCUCCUCUGACGUUAGCGGCGGACGGGUGAGUAACACGUGGAUAACCUACCUAUAAGACUGGGAUAACUUCGGGAAACCGGAGCUAAUACCGGAUAAUAUAUUGAACCGCAUGGUUCAAUAGUGAAAGACGGUUUUGCUGUCACUUAUAGAUGGAUCCGCGCCGCAUUAGCUAGUUGGUAAGGUAACGGCUUACCAAGGCAACGAUGCGUAGCCGACCUGAGAGGGUGAUCGGCCACAUUGGAACUGAGACACGGUCCAGACUCCUACGGGAGGCAGCAGUAGGGAAUCUUCCGCAAUGGGCGAAAGCCUGACGGAGCAACGCCGCGUGAGUGAUGAAGGUCUUCGGAUCGUAAAGCUCUGAUAUUAGGGAAGAACAAAUGUGUAAGUAACUAUGCACGUCUUGACGGUACCGAAUCAGAAAGCCACGGCUAACUACGUG
Molecule: ribosomal RNA, 497 nt
Filed under: uncultured bacterium
Lineage: Bacteria
Description: partial 16S ribosomal RNA
Rfam family: Bacterial small subunit ribosomal RNA
Source: RNAcentral